AACGAACGCUAGCGGCGUGGCUAAGACAUGCAAGUCGUACGGUACGGUGUAGCAAUACAUCGUAUAGUGGCGGACGGGUGAGUAAGACAUGGGUAACGUACCUUGAACUCAGGGAUAGCGUCGGUACCCGCAAGGGUACCUAGCGAAAGCGACGGUAAUACCUGAUGAAAUCCGCGGGUGGCAUCACCUGCGGAUCAAAGACGGGGACCGCAAGGCCUGUUGGUUUUUGAGCGGCCCANGACCUAUCAGCUAGUUGGCGGGGUAACGGCCCACCAAGGCUGCGACGGGUAGCCGGACUGAGAGGGUUGGCCGGCCACAUCGGGACUGGAGACACUGCCCGGACACCUAUGGGUGGCUGCAGUAACGAAUCUUCCGCAAUGGGCNCAAGCCUGACGGAGCGACGCCGCGU
This 409-nucleotide ribosomal RNA is filed under the name uncultured bacterium. RNAcentral describes it as "bacterial SSU rRNA". It matches the Rfam family "Bacterial small subunit ribosomal RNA", at positions 29 to 402 of the family's 1533-position model. The record is from RNAcentral.